UCAGUGGUUGCUUAGUGGCAGAAUUCUUGCCUUGCAUGCAGGAGACCUGGGUUUGAUUCCUGGCCAAUGUA
Molecule: transfer RNA, 71 nt
Filed under: Loxodonta africana (African savanna elephant)
Lineage: Eukaryota; Metazoa; Chordata; Mammalia; Proboscidea; Elephantidae
Rfam family: tRNA
About the family: Transfer RNA (tRNA) molecules are approximately 80 nucleotides in length. Their secondary structure includes four short double-helical elements and three loops (D, anti-codon, and T loops).
Source: Rfam by way of RNAcentral